Molecule: ribosomal RNA, 429 nt
Filed under: Bacteroidota bacterium
Lineage: Bacteria; Pseudomonadati; Bacteroidota
Description: Bacteroidetes bacterium partial 16S ribosomal RNA
Rfam family: Bacterial small subunit ribosomal RNA
Source: RNAcentral
UAGGGAAUCUUCCGCAAUGGACGCAAGUCUGACGGAGCAACGCCGCGUGAGUGAAGAAGGAUUUCGGUUCGUAAAACUCUGUUGUUAGAGAAGAACAGCGCAUAGAGUAACUGUUAUGCGUGUGACGGUAUCUAACCAGAAAGCCACGGCUAACUACGUGCCAGCAGCCGCGGUAAUACGUAGGUGGCAAGCGUUGUCCGGAUUUAUUGGGCGUAAAGCGAGCGCAGGCGGUCAAUUAAGUCUGAUGUGAAAGCCCCCGGCUCAACCGGGGAGGGUCAUUGGAAACUGGUUGACUUGAGUGCAGAAGAGGGGAGUGGAAUUCCAUGUGUAGCGGUGAAAUGCGUAGAUAUAUGGAGGAACACCAGUGGCGAAGGCGACUCUCUGGUGUGUAACUGACGCUGAGGCUCGAAAGCGUGGGUAGCAAACAGG